This 42-nucleotide transfer RNA is filed under the name Peponocephala electra (melon-headed whale). Its description in RNAcentral is "partial tRNA-Phe". The record is from RNAcentral. Lineage: Eukaryota; Metazoa; Chordata; Mammalia; Artiodactyla; Delphinidae.
GUUAAUGUAGCUUAAAUUUUUAUAAAGCAAGACACUGAAAAU